Molecule: ribosomal RNA, 495 nt
Filed under: uncultured bacterium
Lineage: Bacteria
Description: partial 16S ribosomal RNA
Rfam family: Bacterial small subunit ribosomal RNA
Source: RNAcentral
AUGAACGCUGGCGGCGUGCCUCAUACAUGCAAGUCGAGCGAACAGAUGAGGAGCUUGCUCCUCUGACGUUAGCGGCGGACGGGUGAGUAACACGUGGAUAACCUACCUAUAAGACUGGGAUAACUUCGGGAAACCGGAGCUAAUACCGGAUAAUAUAUUGAACCGCAUGGUUCAAUAGUGAAAGACGGUUUUGCUGUCACUUAUAGAUGGAUCCGCGCCGCAUUAGCUAGUUGGUAAGGUAACGGCUUACCAAGGCAACGAUGCGUAGCCGACCUGAGAGGGUGAUCGGCCACACUGGAACUGAGACACGGUCCAGACUCCUACGGGAGGCAGCAGUAGGGAAUCUUCCGCAAUGGGCGAAAGCCUGACGGAGCAACACCGCGUGAGUGAUGAAGGUCUUCGGAUCGUAAAACUCUGUUAUUAGGGAAGAACAAAUGUGUAAGUAACUAUGCACGUCUUGACGGUACCUAAUCAGAAAACCACGGCUAACUACGU